UUUAUGAGUUUUCGGAUUGCCUCCUUUGCGGCGCCUCGCGUGUUGCAUUGCGUGGCCGAAAAGUUGCUCGAAUUUGAUCAUUUAGAGGAAGUAAAAGUCGUAACAAGGUUUCCGUAGGUGAACCUGCGGAAGGAUCAUUAAUGAACAUGAAAAUGUGAAACCACAGUGAACCCGAGCGUGUGAAUGAACAUGUGUGUUGUGUGUACCGGGUAGGUUACCGACACACACUGUCUUAUUCUUCCAAUAUAUAUACUAUGUAGCAAAUAACAAAGAGAACUAGUAAUAAGAGAAAAACUGCUGACGGCGGAUCUCUUGGUUCGUGUAUCGAUGAAGAACGUAGCCAGUUGCGAAAAGUAAUGUGAAUUGCAGAAUGAAGUGAAUCAUCGAAUCUUUGAACGCAAAUUGCACUCUUUGGAAUUCCAUUGAGUAUGUCUGUCUGAGUGUCUUGACAAACCUUACACCUCGGUGUGAACUCGGGCCUCUGGUUACCACCUGGUAACUCGCGCCUGCAAGACCCUGCUCAACGCGCUUGAGACAACAACGUUUGAUCUUAGACAAGCCGCGGGCACCAACCCAAACGAACAUGGACCUCAGAUCAGGCAAGACUACCCGCUGAAUUUAAGCAUAUUAAUAAGCGGAGGAAAAGAAACUAACUA
Molecule: ribosomal RNA, 656 nt
Filed under: Plumularia hyalina
Lineage: Eukaryota; Metazoa; Cnidaria; Hydrozoa; Leptothecata; Plumulariidae
Description: eukaryotic LSU rRNA
Rfam family: 5.8S ribosomal RNA (bases 293-446)
Source: RNAcentral